Molecule: small RNA, 1383 nt
Filed under: Mycoplasma sp. Sgv2d
Lineage: Bacteria; Bacillati; Mycoplasmatota; Mollicutes; Mycoplasmatales; Mycoplasmataceae
Description: bacterial SSU rRNA
Rfam family: Bacterial small subunit ribosomal RNA (bases 1-1172)
Source: RNAcentral
GUAGGGAAUAUUCCACAAUGAGCGAAAGCUUGAUGGAGCGACACAGCGUGCACGAUGAAGGUCUUCGGAUUGUAAAGUGCUGUUAUAAGGGAAGAACACUACAUUGAGGAAAUGCUUUGUAGCUGACGGUACCUUGUCAGAAAGCGAUGGCUAACUAUGUGCCAGCAGCCGCGGUAAUACAUAGGUCGCAAGCGUUAUCCGGAAUUAUUGGGCGUAAAGCGUUCGUAGGCUGUUUAUUAAGUCUGGAGUCAAAUCCCGGGGCUCAACCCCGGCUCGCUUUGGAUACUGGUAAACUAGAGUUAGAUAGAGGUAAGCGGAAUUCCAUGUGAAGCGGUGAAAUGCGUAGAUAUAUGGAAGAACACCAAAGGCGAAGGCAGCUUACUGGGUCUAUACUGACGCUGAGGGACGAAAGCGUGGGGAGCAAACAGGAUUAGAUACCCUGGUAGUCCACGCUGUAAACGAUGAUCAUUAGUCGGUGGAGAGUUCACUGACGCAGCUAACGCAUUAAAUGAUCCGCCUGAGUAGUAUGCUCGCAAGAGUGAAACUUAAAGGAAUUGACGGGGACCCGCACAAGCGGUGGAGCAUGUGGUUUAAUUUGAAGAUACACGGAGAACCUUACCCACUCUUGACAUCUUCCGCAAAGCUAUAGAGAUAUAGUGGAGGUUAACGGAAUGACAGAUGGUGCAUGGUUGUCGUCAGCUCGUGUCGUGAGAUGUUUGGUCAAGUCCUGCAACGAGCGCAACCCCUAUCUUUAGUUACUAACGAGUCAUGUCGAGGACUCUAGAGAUACUGCCUGGGUAACUGGGAGGAAGGUGGGGAUGACGUCAAAUCAUCAUGCCUCUUACGAGUGGGGCAACACACGUGCUACAAUGGUCGGUACAAAGAGAAGCAAUAUGGUGACAUGGAGCAAAUCUCAAAAAGCCGAUCUCAGUUCGGAUUGGAGUCUGCAAUUCGACUCCAUGAAGUCGGAAUCGCUAGUAAUCGCAGAUCAGCUAUGCUGCGGUGAAUACGUUCUCGGGUCUUGUACACGCCGCCCGUCACACCAUGGGAGCUGGUAAUACCCAAAGUCGGUUUGCUAACCUCGGAGGCGACCGCCUAAGGUAGGACUGGUGACUGGGGUGAAGUCGUAACAAGGUAUCCCUACGAGAACGUGGGGAUGGAUCACCUCCUUUCUACGGAGUACAACUUCUGUUAUGGAAAAAAUAUUUGUAUCCAGUUUCGAGAGAUUUAUCUCUCUUUUGUUCUUUGAAAACUGAAUAUCGACAUUGAAAAAUUAUUAAUUAAUAUUUCAAAGUUUAGAUCAACCUAUAGAAUACAAAAUAUAGACAACAAUAGGUCAUACUACAACAACAAAAAAAUAACAAACAACUAUUAAACAAGAUA